Molecule: RNase P RNA, 340 nt
Filed under: Clostridia bacterium
Lineage: Bacteria; Bacillati; Bacillota; Clostridia
Description: RNase P RNA component class A
Rfam family: Bacterial RNase P class A
About the family: Ribonuclease P (RNase P) is a ubiquitous endoribonuclease, found in archaea, bacteria and eukarya as well as chloroplasts and mitochondria. Its best characterised activity is the generation of mature 5'-ends of tRNAs by cleaving the 5'-leader elements of precursor-tRNAs.
Source: RNAcentral
UGAGUAGGCCAAGUAAUCGCGUACAGUUUUGACUGUACGAGGAAAGUCCGAGCUCCAAAGAGCAGACUAACGGUUAACAACCGCCGAGGGCGACCUCAGGGAAAGUGCAACAGAAAUAUACCGCCCGGGUUUUACUCGGGUAAGGAUGAAAUGGCGAGGUAAGAGCUCACCGGCAUGUAGGAAACUGCAUGGCCAUGUAAACCCUAGUCGGAGCAACACCUGUUUGGUAAAAAAGCGCUUGCUCGGCGCAAGAAAAGGUGGCACUGAGCCAGUGUGGCGACACUUGGCCAAGAUAGAUGAUUACUCUCGACAGAAUUCGGCUUAUCGGUCUACUUACCAA